CCCGACAUUGCCUGCUGAGCCAAUCCCAGGGACAAGUAAAGGAGAGCCGCCUCGCACACCUAACCAUGUUUAUAACCGCCUUAACCUCAGCAUCGAGGUCUCCCCUCUCUCACAGGUGGACCGGUCGGUGUUGGAGGCCUUGCCUGCAGAGUUGAGAGAACAUGUGGAGCACUCCUGGACCCACAGAGACACAGAGAGAACACACAACGGUUCACACCCUGGCCCCUCUUCUACUUCUUCUUCCUGUUCAUCUUCCCCUCUACCCUCCUCUCCUCCUCCCCCCGCUGCCCCUCCUGUAGGAGCACUGGUGCUUCAGAUCCCCAAACAGUCUGGACAGACCGGCUCCACAGGCAUCAUACUGGAACUGUCUGACUUCUCCCAGGUUGACCCGGAGGUGUUUGCAGAACUCCCCAGAGAACUCCAGGAGGAGCUGCGUUCAGUGUACGGCCGCAGAGAGAACACCCAUGGGAUCAUGG
This is a long non-coding RNA of Oncorhynchus gorbuscha (pink salmon), 476 nucleotides long. RefSeq lists it as uncharacterized. NCBI's taxonomy places the organism in Eukaryota, Metazoa, Chordata, Actinopteri, Salmoniformes, Salmonidae. The record is from RefSeq and is a predicted model, not a curated record. The transcript is spliced from 3 exons.